UUAAUUACAAGUGUGCUCCUGGUGGUCUUUAACUGAAGGGCACUGACUGGGUCACUGGUGAAGUUCCCCGCAGGAACUGAGUCAGACCCCAUCUCAGGGCCCCGCACAAGAUAGGUGCCUGCACUAAGGCGUGGACCCUCGCGACAGCCCUGGCCCGUCUUGACGGGCGAGGGUUACUGUACUUGUCCCAACCGUACAGAUGAGAAAGCUGAGACUCAGGGCGAGCAACCCGGGUCCCAGCGGAGCGCCGGGCACGCGCCGACACUUCCGCACCAGUCGCGGUGGCCACCACUGUGCGCGGAGAUGGCUGCGACGCGUGCGCAGGUGAAAUGGCCACCAGACCCAGGCUUUCUGGAAUGCAUUCAUUUUCUGCAGUUGAAAGGGACGAUCCCGGAUCUGAAAGAAAGAGCCACAGUGACUCCAAGAGUGGAGCCAGGGCAUGCUGGACACUGCAUAGCUAUGGCCACGUGUGUCACCUCCGAGGGAGAUGUGAGAGAAACGCAGAGGGAUCGCUUGUGACUGUGCCUUCUCGAUGUAUGAUGGACUGUUCUGCUCAAAUAGCAGCAGUAGGGCUGACUGGAGCCAUUGUGCAGUGUCGGGAACAUACCAGCACACCGAGAAUAGCGUCAUGUCAUAAGGACUCAGAGCAGGUGGACCCUGCUGUGAUGCACAAAGGUGAGGGUGCAGCUGCCCAGGACACACUCAUGCAUGUUUGUGUGGACCAUGGAAGAUGGCAGGGGAAGAGCUGUCAGGUUGUUGGGGCAGAGGGUGCGCAUGAGUACUCGCCUAGGACCACGCAAGAUAUGAUAAAGAUCUACGUCACUGAAUUUUGGUUCCAUUUUUGUAUCUCAGCUUCCCGGAAAUAAAAAAGAAUUCUAACAUUC
This 884-nucleotide long non-coding RNA is filed under the name Pan troglodytes (chimpanzee). RNAcentral describes it as "lincRNA". The record is from RNAcentral. Lineage: Eukaryota; Metazoa; Chordata; Mammalia; Primates; Hominidae.